This 179-nucleotide ribosomal RNA is filed under the name Tiphodytes sp. TN2004-4. RNAcentral describes it as "partial 28S ribosomal RNA". It matches the Rfam family "Eukaryotic large subunit ribosomal RNA", at positions 704 to 852 of the family's 3401-position model. Lineage: Eukaryota; Metazoa; Arthropoda; Insecta; Hymenoptera; Scelionidae. The record is from RNAcentral.
AAACCUAAAGGCGCAUUGAAAGAGAAAAUCGACCUUGCGUCGAUCGAGGGAGGAUGGGCGAUGUUUUUGCAUCGCUCCGCACUCCCGGGGCGUCUCGUUGUCAUUGCGACAUGAGGCGCACCUAGAGCGUACACGUUGGGACCCGAAAGAUGGUGAACUAUGCCUGGUCAGGAUGAAGU